This 301-nucleotide ribosomal RNA is filed under the name uncultured bacterium. RNAcentral's name for it is "partial 16S ribosomal RNA". It matches the Rfam family "Bacterial small subunit ribosomal RNA", at positions 509 to 807 of the family's 1533-position model. The record is from RNAcentral.
CAGUCGCCGCGGGAAUACGUAGGUGGCGAGCGUUAAUCGGAAUUACUGGGCGUAAAGCGUGCGCAGGCGGUUGUGUAAGACAGGUGUGAAAUCCCCGGGCUUAACCUGGGAACUGCGCUUGUGACUGCACAGCUAGAGUAUGGCAGAGGGGGGUGGAAUUCCACGUGUAGCAGUGAAAUGCGUAGAGAUGUGGAGGAACACCGAUGGCGAAGGCAGCCCCCUGGGCCAAUACUGACGCUCACGCACGAAAGCGUGGGGAGCAAACAGGAUUAGAUACCCCCGUAGUCCCUGUCUCUUAUAC